RNAcentral lists this ribosomal RNA (324 nucleotides) under Triticum aestivum (bread wheat). RNAcentral describes it as "partial small subunit ribosomal RNA". The record is from RNAcentral. Lineage: Eukaryota; Viridiplantae; Streptophyta; Magnoliopsida; Poales; Poaceae.
AUGCUUCGAAUGAAAAGAGCAUCAUUUGCCAGACUUGUCGAGACCUUCAGGAGCAGGGGGCUGCUACAAGAUAACAUCAACACCAGUGUGGAAGAGCAAGUGGCCAUGUUCCUCCAUGUUGUUGGCUAUAACCAGAGGUUCAGGGUCAUUCACAACACGUUCAGGAGAUCAAUGGAGGCCAUCUCUAGGUACUUCAAGCAGGUGCUUUUUGCUAUUGGGGAGCUUAGAGGAGAGAUGAUUAGGAGACCAUCUGGCCAGACUCCACCCAAUAUUCACGGAAGCCCAAGAUGGUAUCCAUACUUCAAGUUGAGCACUAACACAUGC